RNAcentral lists this unclassified non-coding RNA (231 nucleotides) under uncultured Actinomycetes bacterium. Its description in RNAcentral is "uncultured actinobacterium contains 16S-23S intergenic spacer region". The record is from RNAcentral. Lineage: Bacteria; Bacillati; Actinomycetota; Actinomycetes.
UCCGAGUUGACCCCGGCAGUCUCCUAUGAGUCCCCGCCAUUACGCGCUGGCAACAUAGAACGAGGGUUGCGCUCGUUGCGGGACUUAACCCAACAUCUCACGACACGAGCUGACGACAGCCAUGCACCACCUGUACACCGGCCACAAAGGGAUACCGUGUCUCCACGGCGAUCCGGCGUAUGUCAAGCCUUGGUAAGGUUCUUCGCGUUGCGUCGAAUUAAGCCACAUGCU